Molecule: long non-coding RNA, 842 nt
Filed under: Vulpes vulpes (red fox)
Lineage: Eukaryota; Metazoa; Chordata; Mammalia; Carnivora; Canidae
Description: lncRNA (ENSVVUG00000020597.1)
Source: RNAcentral
AGUAUGGUGGUUAUAGUUUAUAUGUUAAAUGUUCUUAUUCUUGAACUAUUUGGUUUUAUAAACAGAACUGAAGCUAGGAUAAGGCAAGAGAAUCACCCAGUGGACAGAAUGUAAGGAGAUACUCACUCUUAGGGUCACACAAGUCCCAGCCCCGUUCCUAAACAUAAGGAUCUACUUUCCAGAAGCGACACAGAACAUCUCCAUUCUGGGCCUUUGACAAAAGGUCUUUAUAUAAGCCAUUCAAAAUACUUUGAGGAGAGAGAUACAUAGCAGAUUGGGACAUCCAUCCAAUGUUUCAGCACAUUCCUGAGUUACCACUGUGAUGGAGUGUUCUUGGAAGACUCUCCAGUUUCUUACUUCUCAGGACAUUGGCUGUUUUCCAAAGAAUGUACCUUUGGAGACAGUCAUUAUCACUCCUGGGUUUUGCCAGUUUAAUUUUGCUAUAUUCAGAAAUCACACUAGAAGCACUCUCUGCCUCAACCAGGCUUCUGGGUUGUUCUGCUUUCGGAUAUUGUCGGAUGCAACAGAACAUCGAGUUAAGGAACACUGAGGAGUGCUGAGAUUAGAGAAGUGUUAUCCUAGAGAACAAAGCUAUUAAAUUCUCCAAACCUGAGUUAAAAGAAUACCUAGUACCACACUUAAUUCCUGGUGUGAGCAGAAUUAAACUUAUUUGAUAAUCUUUGACAAGAUCAUAAAUGAGGGAGCAGAAGAGUUAGGGGACUGAUGUUCAUGAAGAGAGGAGAAUGGAGGAAGGUACUCAACUGGUCCCUUUCCCUUGGUCAAAUGGAAUUUGGGAUUAAUGAGCAAAUAAAAACAUUCACGAAGUUUGUUAGUAUCUCCUC